This 465-nucleotide ribosomal RNA is filed under the name uncultured bacterium. RNAcentral's name for it is "partial 16S ribosomal RNA". It matches the Rfam family "Bacterial small subunit ribosomal RNA", at positions 28 to 507 of the family's 1533-position model. The record is from RNAcentral.
GACGAACGCUGGCGGCGUGCUUAACACAUGCAAGUCGUACGGUAAGGCCCUUUCGGGGGUACACGAGUGGCGAACGGGUGAGUAACACGUGAGUAACCUGCCCACAACUUUGGGAUAACGCUAGGAAACUGGAGCUAAUACUGGAUAUGUGCUCCUGCUGCAUGGUGGGGGUUGGAAAGCUCCGGCGGUUGUGGAUGGACUCGCGGCCUAUCAGCUUGUUGGUGGGGUAGUGGCCUACCAAGGCGGCGACGGGUAGCCGGCCUGAGAGGGUGACCGGCCACAUUGGGACUGAGAUACGGCCCAGACUCCUACGGGAGGCAGCAGUGGGGAAUAUUGCACAAUGGGCGCAAGCCUGAUGCAGCAACGCCGCGUGCGGGAUGACGGCCUUCGGGUUGUAAACCGCUUUCAGCAGGGACGAAGCUUUUUGUGACGGUACCUGCAGAAGAAGCACCGGCUAACUACGUG